CCUACGGGUGGCAGCAGUGGGGGAUAUUGCACAAUGGGGGAAACCCUGAUGCAGCGACGCCGCGUGAGUGAAGAAGCGUUUCGGUGUGUAAAGCUCUGUCAGCAGGGGAGAAAAUGACAGUACCUGACGAAGAAGCCCCGGCUAACUACGUGCCAGCAGCCGCGGUAAUACGUAGGGGGCAAGCGUUAUCCGGAUGUACUGGGUGUAAAGGGGGCGCAGACGGUGAUGUAAGUCAGGAGUGAAAGCCCGGGGCCCAACCCCGGGACUGCGUUGGAAACUGUGUGGCUGGAGUACAGGAGGGGCAGGCGGAAUUCCUGGUGUAGCGGUGAAAUGCGUAGAUAUCAGGAGGAACACCGGUGGCGAAGGCGGCCUGCUGGACUGAAACUGACGUUGAGGCCCGAAAGCGUGGGGAGCAAACAGGAUUAGAUACCCUGGUAGUC
Molecule: ribosomal RNA, 440 nt
Filed under: uncultured bacterium
Lineage: Bacteria
Description: partial 16S ribosomal RNA
Rfam family: Bacterial small subunit ribosomal RNA
Source: RNAcentral